AACUAACAAGGAUUCCCCUAGUAACUGCGAGUGAAGCGGGAAAAGCUCAAAUUUAAAAUCUGGCGGUCUUUGGCUGUCCGAGUUGUAAUCUAGAGAAGUAUUAUCCGCGCUGGACCGUGUACAAGUCUCCUGGAAUGGGGCGUCAUAGAGGGUGAGAAUCCCGUCUUUGACACGGACUGCCAGGGCUUUGUGAUGUGCUCUCAAAGAGUCGAGUUGUUUGGGAAUGCAGCUCAAAAUGGGUGGUAAAUUCCAUCUAAAGCUAAAUAUUGGCGAGAGACCGAUAGCGAACAAGUACCGUGAGGGAAAGAUGAAAAGAACUUUGGAAAGAGAGUUAAACAGUACGUGAAAUUGCUGAAAGGGAAACGCUUGAAGUCAGUCGCAUUGGCCAGGGAUCAACCUUGCUUUUUUGCUUGGCUUACUUUCUGGUCAAUGGGUCAGCAUCAAUUUUGACUGGUGGAAAAAGUUCAAGGGAAUGUGGCAUCUUUGGAUGUGUUAUAGCCUUUGUUCACAUACAUUGGUCGGGAUUGAGGAACUCAGCACGCCGCAAGGCCGGGUUUUUAACCACGUACGUGCUUAGGAUGCUGGCAUAAUGGCUUUAAUCGACCCGUCUUGAAACACGGACCAAGGAGUCUAACAUGCCUGCGAGUGUUUGGGUGAAAAACCCGAGCGCGUAAUGAAAGUGAAAGUUGAGAUCCCUGUCAUGGGGAGCAUUGACGCCCGGAUCUGACCUUUUGUGACGAUUCUGCGGUAGAGCAUGUAUGUUGGGACCCGAAAGAUGGUGAACUAUGCCUGAAUAGGGUGAAGCCAGAGGAAACUCUGGUGGAGGCUCGUAGCGAUUCUGACGUGCAAAUCGAUCGUCAAAUUUGGGUAUAGGGGCGAAAGACUAAUCGAACCAUCUAGUAGCUGGUC
Molecule: ribosomal RNA, 909 nt
Filed under: Laccaria sp.
Lineage: Eukaryota; Fungi; Basidiomycota; Agaricomycetes; Agaricales; Hydnangiaceae
Description: eukaryotic LSU rRNA
Rfam family: Eukaryotic large subunit ribosomal RNA
Source: RNAcentral